GAGGAAUAUUGGUCAAUGGAUGCAAAUCUGAACCAGCCAAGUAGCGUGCAGGAUGACGGCCCUAUGGGUUGUAAACUGCUUUUAUGUGAGAAUAAAGUUAGGUAUGUAUACUUAUUUGCAUGUGUCACAUGAAUAAGGACCGGCUAAUUCCGUGCCAGCAGCCGCGGUAAUACGGAAGGUCCAGGCGUUAUCCGGAUUUAUUGGGUUUAAAGGGUGCGUAGGCCGUUUGAUAAGCGUGCUGUGAAAUAUAGUGGCUCAACCUCUAUCGUGCAGCGCGAACUGUUGAACUUGAGUGCGUAGUAGGUAGGCGGAAUUCGUGGUGUAGCGGUGAAAUGCUUAGAUAUCACGAAGAACUCCGAUUGCGAAGGCAGCUUACCGUAACGUUACUGACGCUUAAGCACGAAGGUGCGGGUAUCGAACAGGAUUAGAUACCCUGGUAGUCCGCACAGUAAACGAUGGAUGCUCGCUGUUGGCCUUUUGUGGUCAGUGGCUUAGCGAAAGCGUUAAGCAUCCCACCUGGGGAGUACGCCGGCAACGGUG
This 540-nucleotide ribosomal RNA is filed under the name uncultured bacterium. RNAcentral's name for it is "bacterial SSU rRNA". It matches the Rfam family "Bacterial small subunit ribosomal RNA", at positions 356 to 896 of the family's 1533-position model. The record is from RNAcentral.